RNAcentral lists this transfer RNA (77 nucleotides) under Azospirillum argentinense. RNAcentral describes it as "tRNA-Arg". It matches the Rfam family "tRNA". From Rfam's summary of the family: Transfer RNA (tRNA) molecules are approximately 80 nucleotides in length. Their secondary structure includes four short double-helical elements and three loops (D, anti-codon, and T loops). RNAcentral also lists the same sequence under 1 other name. The record is from RNAcentral. Lineage: Bacteria; Pseudomonadati; Pseudomonadota; Alphaproteobacteria; Rhodospirillales; Azospirillaceae.
GCACCCGUAGCGCAGCUGGAUAGCGCGACGCCCUCCGAAGGCGUAGGUCACAGGUUCGAAUCCUGUCGGGUGCGCCA